UCGUAACAAGGUUUCCGUAGGUGAACCUGCGGAAGGAUCAUUACCGAGUGAGGGCCCUCUGGGUCCAACCUCCCACCCGUGUCUAUCGUACCUUGUUGCUUCGGCGGGCCCGCCGUUUCGACGGCCGCCGGGGAGGCCUCGCGCCCCCGGGCCCGCGCCCGCCGAAGACCCCAACAUGAACUCUGUUCUGAAAGUAUGCAGUCUGAGUUGAUUAUCAUAAUCAGUUAAAACUUUCAACAACGGAUCUCUUGGUUCCGGCAUCGAUGAAGAACGCAGCGAAAUGCGAUAAGUAAUGUGAAUUGCAGAAUUCAGUGAAUCAUCGAGUCUUUGAACGCACAUUGCGCCCCCUGGUAUUCCGGGGGGCAUGCCUGUCCGAGCGUCAUUGCUGCCCUCAAGCACGGCUUGUGUGUUGGGCCCCCGUCCCCGGUUUCCCCCGGGGACGGGCCCGAAAGGCAGCGGCGGCACCGCGUCCGGUCCUCGAGCGUAUGGGGCUUUGUCACCCGCUCUGUAGGCCCGGCCGGCGCCAGCCGACACCCAACUUUAUUUCUAAGGUUGACCUCGGAUCAGGUAGGGAUACCCGCUGAACUUAAGCAUAUCAAUAA
RNAcentral lists this unclassified non-coding RNA (602 nucleotides) under Aspergillus udagawae. Its description in RNAcentral is "sequence contains 18S rRNA gene, ITS1, 5.8S rRNA gene, ITS2, 28S rRNA gene". The stretch from base 229 to 382 matches the Rfam family "5.8S ribosomal RNA". The record is from RNAcentral. Lineage: Eukaryota; Fungi; Ascomycota; Eurotiomycetes; Eurotiales; Aspergillaceae.